GCUAGAGAAAGCAUAAGGCCAACAGGUUUAGUGUCUGAAGAAACGCUGUAAAGUUAAGCGCUUUAUGGACGUGAAAACGAAGCUUCAAUCGUUUACUUUUAUCAAAAGACAGACCAAGUUCCACGAUCAAAGGAAGGACUUAACAGGGAAAGCAAGAUUAGAGAGCAAUGGUAGGACCUCUACGUAGGAAGGAGAGUGUCUCGAUAUGCUGGAAAUGGCGGCUAAAAUAUCUUCAACUCGCAACCUUACACUCUUAGGAACGGAAACAGACUGCACAAUGCAGUAGAUGUACGGAAAGACAGGGUGGUCACGUCGGAAACUGGGACACAGCAACAACAAUAGCAACAAAAAUAACAACAACAACAACAAGUGCUGAGGUGAAUGAACGGCUGUCAUUGACAUGAAAGUAGGAAGCCAAUACGAAAACGAAGAAUUCGGUUUCAUAUGAAAUGAUUCAAGGAUCCCGUCUUCAGCUUCAAUGAAUGCUUCAAUACAGGACUGGAGUCUUUGACAUGCUUGCACUAAAUCUUCCUUGUUCAUUUCGGACAUCAUCCGGAAUCGAUUAGUCUCCCUGGCGAGCUUCGAAGCCACAAGUUUGGUGUUAAAUGAUCGUAAAGAUUGUCUGACAUCUGACAUAUUGUCUGACAUCUGACAUAUUGUCUGACAUCUAUAUCUGGUGUAUGCGAGUUUUCUGAAUAGGAACCGAGACUUGUUGAGAUAUGUAUGGCUUUUCAUUGGUGCACUUCAUCUAUCCAGGGCUUAACAACUGUCUCCAGCACCUCCACGUAUCCAGCAGCAUAAAUUCUAAGACUUUGUGGAAUAUAGAUUUAACUGUAGAUCGAUUUGAUUAUUAAUGAUAUAAAAACACAUAUAUAUUUAUUUAUUUGCUCAAAAUAAUAGAGCACUUAAUAUAAGUUCAGUAACAUAUUCUUUUAGAAUAUUCCUUAUAAAAUUUAUAUAUAUAUAUAUAUAUAUAUAUAAACCACACUUAAAUAAUUCAACAAAGAAGAAUUCAACUCACACCCCACAGAAAACCAGAAAACAAACAUAUCACAAAAACCUUAUUCAAAAAAUCAAUAAAAUACAAAAAGAAUAACUAGUAAAUGGUAUAAAAUGAGUACGUACGUUUCGUGGGUAUAUUUUCAAAUAGAUAACUACUAAAACCAAUUCAAUAAAUAAUUCUAUUAAUUAUCAAAUCGAUCUACAGUUAAAUCUAUUCAAAAAUAUAGUCACUCGUCAGGUCUAAAAUAAAAAUAAUAAUAAUAAAA
Molecule: long non-coding RNA, 1268 nt
Organism: Octopus bimaculoides (California two-spot octopus)
Lineage: Eukaryota; Metazoa; Mollusca; Cephalopoda; Octopoda; Octopodidae
Source: RefSeq, a predicted model, not a curated record